Molecule: long non-coding RNA, 1614 nt
Organism: Phasianus colchicus (ring-necked pheasant)
Lineage: Eukaryota; Metazoa; Chordata; Aves; Galliformes; Phasianidae
Source: Ensembl
UUGGAUCAAUUUGUGGCCGUUUUGGAGCCAUUUGGGGCCAUUUUGGGGCCAUUUUGAGCCAUUUCAGGACAAUUUGGGGCCGUUUUGGGGGCAUUUGUUGCCAUAUGGGGCCAUUUGUUGCCAUUUUUGGGACCAUUUCAUGUCAUUUGUGGCCAUUUGGGGGCCAUUUUGGGUCCAUUUGUUGCAACUUGGGGCCAUUUGGGGUCCAUUUGUGGCGAUUUGGGGCCGUUUUGGGUCCAUUUGUGGUGAUUUGGGGCCGUUUUGGGGGCAUUUUGGGGCCAUUUGUUGCAAUUUGGGGCCAUUUGGGGUCCAUCUGUGGCGAUUUGGGGCCAUUUUGGGGCCAUUUGUUGCAACUUGGGGCCUUUUUGGUUCCAUUUGUGGCGAUUCGGGGCCGUUUGGGGUCUAUUUGGGGCCACUUGGGGUCUAUUUGGGGCCACUUGGGGUCUAUGUGGGGCCAUUUGGGGUCUCUUUGUGGCGAUGUGGGGCGGUUUUGGGGCCCACCUGGAGAUGCAGGCCCUGCACCCAGUGCCCCACAGGCCGGUACGCCCCGCUGCCGUUGCUCCACUGGAACUGGAAGAUGUCGUAGCGCCCCGGCGCGUCGCCGUUCUCGUUGAACAUCACCGGCGUGCCGGCGCUGCCUGCGCCAGUACGGACCGGUAUCAACCAGUACGGACCAGUGUAAACCAGUACGGACCGGUGUAAACCAGUACGGACCAGUAUAAACCAGUACGGACCGGUAUAAACCAGUACGGACCGGUAUCAACCAGUACGGACCGGUGUAAACCAGUACGGACCAGUGUAAACCAAUACGAACCGGUAUAAACCAGUAUGGAGCGGUAUAAACCAGUACGGACCAGUAUAAACCAGUACGGAGCGGUAUAAACCAGUACGGAGCGGUAUAAACCAGUACGGACCGGUGUAAACCAGUACGGACCAGUAUCAACCAGUACGGACCGGUGUAAACCAGUACGGAGCAGUAUCAACCAGUACGGACCAGUAUAAACCAGUACGGACCAGUAUCAACCAGUACGGACCGGUGUAAACCAGUACGGACCAGUAUCAACCAGUACGGACCGGUGUAAACCAGUACGGACCGGUAUAAACCAGUACAGACCGGUGUAAACCAGUAUGGACCAGUGUAAACCAGUACGGACCGGUGUAAACCAGUACGGACCAGUAUAAACCAGUAUGGAUCGGUAUAAACCAGUACGGACCAGUGUAAACCAGUACGGACCAGUAUAAACCAGUACAGACCGGUGUAAACCAGUACGGACCGGUGUAAACCAGUACGGACCAGUAUAAACCAGUACGGACCAGUGUAAACCAGUACAGACCGGUGUAAACCAGUACGGACCAGUAUAAACCAGUACGGAGCGGUAUAAACCAAUACGAACCAGUAUAAACCAGUACGGACCAGUAUAAACCAGUACAGACCGGUAUAAACCAGUACGGACCGGUGUAAACCAGUAUGGACCAGUAUAAACCAGUACAGACCAGUGUAAACCAGUACAGACCGGUAUAAACCAGUACGGACCAGUGUAAACCAGUACAGACCAGUGUAAACCAGUACAGACCGGUAUAAACCAGUACAGACUGGUGUAAACCAGUACAGAC